CGAAGAAAUAAGUGGGACAACCUUGACUUAACAAAGUCGCUGUUGUCUCCAAACCAACACCCUUUGUGAAUGCUUCACUUAUUUUUGCUGGUUUAAAAAUAUGUUGGCUCUUUUUAAGUUUCAACUUUUGAACUGGCAACCUUAACAAACUCUUACGAAUUUUUAUAAACCUGAAACCCAAAUGAGAAAACCAAAUGAGAAA
This 202-nucleotide unclassified non-coding RNA is filed under the name soil metagenome. Its description in RNAcentral is "partial internal transcribed spacer 1". The record is from RNAcentral.